RNAcentral lists this long non-coding RNA (1365 nucleotides) under Equus caballus (horse). RNAcentral describes it as "lncRNA (ENSECAG00000055567.1)". Lineage: Eukaryota; Metazoa; Chordata; Mammalia; Perissodactyla; Equidae. The record is from RNAcentral.
CACCCCCACCCAGAAGUCUCCAGGUUCUGCUUUGUGGAUUGGAGGCCCCAGUUGGUGCUGUUCUGGCUUCUGCAUGGGAACGGUUUGGGGGAACGCAAGAAAAGGGGUCCUGGGGUUCUCCAAGGUGCAAAGGAUGGAAACUUGGCCCGGGGCAGGCAAGGAGAGGGCGCAGGGGGUUGGCCUGGCUUAGGCUGCAAAGGGAGAGCAGCUGGGUGCUGGUGAGCUGCCUCAGGCCAAGCUUUUGUAAAUCACAUGCAAAUCCUCUGGCCCAGGUAUCCGUACCUGUGACUGGGUGGCACAGAGCCUGUAACUGUAAAGCCAUGUUGAUUGAAUAAGUGAGUGACUGAAUUCUCCUUGGGGUCUCCAGCCACAGGUCUCAGGGCUCCCAUUCCAAGGAGAAGGUCUUUACCUGCCUCCCUGUUUUCUUCCCCCCGCAGCCCAUCUUCUUAGACCUCUCUCCUUAACCUCUGGGUCUCCAGGGGCGCUAUCCUGACAUAGAGAUAGGCCCCUGGAGGUCUAGGUCACCUCUCCCUCCAGGCAGAGCCAGUUCUGGUUGGAGAGGUGGCCCUCCUAUCCCCUGAAGUCUCCCCUCCCACUCCUGGGGCCGUGAAACUCCAGCUCCUCAGCCAGCCCUCACCCCAGCUGUGAGCAGGGCAGCCUCAGAGAGAAGGCCAGCCUGCGUCUGGGAACCUGAGUCCUAGGUGUUCGAUUCGACAGGGACCUGGCAUUGGUUGAACGAGCGAAGGAUUGAAGAUAGGGUGACAGGACCAAAGGCUGGGAGGAGCGGGUUGCUUCCCUGAGCUUGGGGUGCAGAGGGAACAAGAAGCUUCCAGUUGGCUAGGGCGAGGGUGCGUGAUGGAGGGAAGCAGUACCACAAACACCAGGGACCCUUGGAGACGGUUUUCAGUGGCAGCUGGGAGCUGAGAGGCCAGGGACAGCACCCUCUUCAAACUGCACCCGAGCCUGAUCUUAGCUGUCUCCUUGCUGCUUUCUUCCUUGGGUGACUGUCUUUUCUGCCACUUUUGUGAGCAGUACGUUUAUUUUUCGCUUAUGUUAACCAGAGGUCGGUUUCUGUUGUUUGAGUCUUAGAACCCUGCCCGGUGCCCCUGACCCCACCCUCAUCAUGGCAGAGGGAGGAUGAGGUAAGGUCCUGCGUGGGAAGUGCCAGAUUCAUAGCGGCGAUUAGACAAAGGCCAUUGUCUUCCCCUUGCACUCCCCACAGUGACUUGCUUCUGCCCUUAUCUAGAAUAGAGUUGGUCUCUGACGGUGCUGGCCCGUGGGCUCAUCAGGUCUGAGGGGGAACAGCGCCUCCUGGUGGCCAGAGUGCAGAUCCCAAGGGGAAGGGGAGGCGAUGGGGCUGGAGGC